GCUAGUGCGGGACGUCGUCGCCCGCGAGGCCGGAGCUUGGAUCCGCGGAGCGACCGGAGAGCGGAGGGGGCGGCGGGGCCCGGGCGCGGCGGGUCUCUUCGCCUCUCACUGCGCGCUCGAACCCUGGGCCCGGCGACCCGCGGGCUGCACCCUAUGUAAUGCGGAGAAUGUGUGAGCCAGCGCAGGGCGGUGGGGAGGAGGAGGCGCAAGAGAGGGCGUCGGCAAGAUAGACCUCGAGGCAGCGAGAAAGACAGAGGACGGAGAUCGGGGCGGGUGCAGGUGCGAGAAAGAAGAGGAGAUAAAAGGAAAGGCAGUGACAGAAAAGGGGGAAAGAAAGGAGCGAGAGAGCACGCGGCGGCGGGAGGCGGCGCAGGCGAGGAAGAGAGAGCCGGCGCCUCUGGGUGGGAGCGCCGGAGACCGGAGUUGGGUGCGCCGGCCAGUGAGCAGGCUGAGAGCACGGCCGCGGUCCGGCUGGGCGCGGUGAAGAAGCAGGGACGCCCGCAGGGGCCCCCUCUGGGAGCAGCCGGGGACCUGAGGCGGGGCCAACCUGGUAGCGGACGCAGAGCCACUCCUCAGGCCCCACGGGCCGCGCUCUGGGGACUCCGGCGGGCCGGGGCCAGGGGGCCUUUUGUGAGCGCCUCAGGAAGGCGAGAGUUGGGAGUGAGGAGCCGGGUGUGCGGCGGCAGCGGGGGUGUGUGCGCGCCCGGGCGUGCGCGUGUGUGAGCGCCCAGGCGGGUGGGAGCGCGCGUUAGGGAUUCUGCUGGCAUCGCAGCGUGGAGAGCAGGAGGCAGGCGCAGGGCGCGCAGGGGAGCGCGGGGCCCUCCCGCGCACACGCACACAGCGCGCGCGCGCGCGCACACACACACACACACACACACACACACAUACACACAUACACACCCUCACGCCCUCCCUGCCUCGCUCGUUGCCGCGGCCACCAUCUCGGAGCCGAGCCCUGCGGAGCGGGAACUCGAGUCGGAGCGGGAACCGGAGCGGAGCCGAGACGGGGAAUGCGGCCCUGGAGUGGAGCCGCGCGCGGAAUGCGCGCCCGGGACGCCUCCUGCGCCCACAGGCCCUGAGGCUCCUGUGCCCACCGGCAAGGAGGGAGACCAGUCAAGCCCAGGCUGACCCCCAGCCCAGUGGCAUGCCCCAGACGCCUGCUCGACCUGCGACCUUGGAGGAGCCAGACUGUCACAGAGCAAGAGUCCCCGCCCUGCAGAUGGGAG
Camelus dromedarius (Arabian camel) is the source of this 1226-nucleotide long non-coding RNA. RefSeq lists it as uncharacterized. Lineage: Eukaryota; Metazoa; Chordata; Mammalia; Artiodactyla; Camelidae. The transcript has 3 exons. The record is from RefSeq and is a predicted model, not a curated record.